UACAGAGAGUGCAAGCGUUAAUCGGAAUUACUGGGCGUAAAGCGCGCGUAGGUGGAUGUUUAAGUCGGAUGUGAAAUCCCCAGGCUCAACCUGGGAACUGCACCCGAAACUGGACAUCUAGAGUAUGGUAGAGGGAAGUGGAAUUUCCGGUGUAGUGGUGAAAUGCGUAGAGAUCUGAAGGAAUACCAGUGGCGAAGGCGGCCCCCUGGACAGAUACUGACACUCAGAUGCGAAAGCGUGGGGAGCAAACAGG
RNAcentral lists this ribosomal RNA (253 nucleotides) under uncultured bacterium. RNAcentral describes it as "partial 16S ribosomal RNA". It matches the Rfam family "Bacterial small subunit ribosomal RNA", at positions 524 to 776 of the family's 1533-position model. The record is from RNAcentral.